This is a long non-coding RNA of Drosophila pseudoobscura, 4585 nucleotides long. RefSeq lists it as uncharacterized. The transcript is spliced from 4 exons. The record is from RefSeq and is a predicted model, not a curated record. Lineage: Eukaryota; Metazoa; Arthropoda; Insecta; Diptera; Drosophilidae.
AAGUUGGCAGCCCUGCCCCUGCCAGAGACAAACAUGUGUAAUAAAUUGCCUGUCCGUUGCUGAAUUGAAACUGCCAAUCCAAUUAGUUGGGACUGUGCAAACAAGAGGCUGCAGCCCGAGCUGCCCAGCUAUCCGGGUACCCAGCUACCCAUCGCUACCCGGGUACCCAGCUCCACUCGCAUGUGGCUGCCGGGCAAUAAAAAUGGACACACAGCAGAAACAACAUGGCGCUGGCAGAAGGCAACGGUCCGGGACACCGGCACAGAAGCACUCGCCAAUGUACGGGCAACCUGAUGCCGGCGCCUUCCCCCCUCCCACGCCUCAGGCCUCACCGGACACUGGACUAGGAAUAACAGCAUUUAUUCUUCCUUCUGGUUGUACUCUUUGUGUCUUAACUAUUUAUGAGGUCGAGUUGUUUGUGCAGUUUGAUUAUUUUGCUGGCAGGGCGGUAGGCGGAGCACCGGCGACCUGUGCCUCUUCAUAAUUCAACGGUCGGGCUGACAAUCCGGCCAGACGGAGUGCACACACAUUCAGAGGAACGGCGCGCUCAAGUGAGAUCGCAGUGAGCGCCCACGCAACGAGUUUUGUGCAGCGUGUAGGGGAUCACUCGAUGGGCUGUACACACGUACCACAGCUGAUUUGUUAUGGUUUUAAAAAGAACUUAAUGAAAAUCAAAGUAAAGGCCGAUCGGCCCUGUGCCCUGCGGGCCCUAUAUACCCUACAGACUCGCUACAGACUGUGCUUGGGAUCCGCUCGCUACUUUGGCCUAGAAUGGCUGGAGCAUUUCUUGUCGAUUCACAGUCAACGUUCAACGCACUGCAACAUGCAGCAGCCACCAUGAGUUGUAUUGCAUAGCUAAUCACAUCACUUACAGUUCCACACAUUAUAUUAGUGAAUGCUUUGUGUGAAUGUGUCUGACGUCUGCCUAAGUCUGAUGAACGUGAUUAUAUAGUGGAAAGAAUUAUUUGGCCCAGCCAUCUUAUGUGCAUAUUUACGUACACACUUAUAUAGGGAAUUCUUUACACUUUUGAAGGCUCUACGGAGAGAUGCAACUCAUAUACACACAUAUCUGCGACCUUUCCAGUCGCCUUCUCGUGCAGCUGCUAUCCACUACCUGCUCUGGGUAGGGGCCUUCCAAAGCUACAGGCAAACAAUUGCUGCAUUCCAGAAGUCACCGCUAAAACGCCGCAACGCUACAGGACCUGAGCGCUCCCAGUCGUUGCUUCGCUUCUACAAGCAGCACCAACGGCGACGCUACAUCUUGGAACACUUUCAGCGUUCCCUUCCAUUCGGUAUAGUACACUCCUUCACGGCUCUCAAUACACAUAUAUGGUAUGUUAUACUCGUAUCUUAAUGGAAAGGCGUACUUACAUAUUUGAUAGGUAUCAGUAUGUUUCUGAUGUGUACACUUUAUAACAACUCUCAUGUGUUCCAGGUUCCACGUGAAAAUCCCUACCCAGUUUAAUCAGCUGCUAGGCACUGCAUAUUAAUAUUAAUGAGUUAUAUUGACGAAACAAUUCAGAAGUGACUGAUUUCUCAUCCGUGGGGCUGCCUUGACAGCGAUCUUAGUGAGAAUUGUUGACUUCUAGCGACUCAGCGACUUCUACUCUGAGCGCUUCUCGUCGGUGCGUUACGCACCUGGUGGUCUCGCUACAUAUGUUGGUCUUCUCGACGGUCCAAUUAAAAAACGGCAGGAGCACAACUACGAACUACGUAUGAACAUGGAAACGGCUAUUAGUUCGUUCAGCUUCGUAGGAUAUGAUAAGGAACUUCUCAGGGUUGCGCUCCCAAAUACAUUGGAACCAAACACACACAUCGUUUCACCAUCCAUAUUUAAAGCUCUACGGAUGGAACAACUCAGAGGGGAUAAAUGCACGUAUCAGCUACCAGUCUUCCAGCUAUAUAUGCUGUUAGUCUGUAACCGCUCCAUAAAGGGUCUGGCAUACCCAACAGACUUCGGAUCCUCUCGUUACGUAGACUACUGACUCGCUAUGCCGGUUAGCUGCACAGGCCAGGGGGGUAUCCUUUAAGCAUCAAGAGAAACGUGAGGCUACAGGAAUCUUCGCAUAGAUCGCAUACAGUCCAUCUGUAUCGAUGCCCCUUUCCUAGCUAUAGGCGAUCUCUGCAAUCUCUGAAUUGCUCAAUCUAAACGAAAUUUCCGAACACGAAAUAAACGAAUAACCGAUUCCGGCUCCACCCAGAGGACAUAGCAAUUAGCAUCGGCCUCCAGGAACUGCUUCUGCUCAGCGAGAUCCGAUUGUAGGUUCUUCUUCUAUCUCCUCUGCCUCUUCUUGGUACGUGUGCACUUUAAUAUGAGUACUAUACAUAGUCACAUGUAUAUCGAAUUCGAUUUCAAGCUGCAUUCCUGCAUCAAUUAAAUAUUGCUUACUGCAUUUGUGUAGCGAGAAUGGAAAGAGAUGAAACCAAACAUAAAACGAAAUUGAUUUUUGUAUUUGUAUAAACUGGAAUUGUUUUUAACGAAAUUCAAUCCAAUUUGAUGCAGCCAGAAUCUGGCCUUUUAUAUAUGUACAUAAUAUGCAAAAAUCACAAUAAUAAAAUAACACCAAAAGCGAGAGAGAGGGAGAGAGAGAUAGAGAAGGAGAGUUGGGAAGAGUAAUGAAAUAAUAAUCGAGACAAAAACCGCAGACCAACGUCAAAGAGGGAAAGGACGAGUGGGAGGUACUGCCGCUGUUGUAGUCAUUUCUGCUGCACAAGCAUUUUAUUGUGGAAAUGGAAGAAGCAGUUGCUUGCUCUCCCCAAAGCCCUCGCUCUCGCCCUUGCCCUCGCUCUCGCUCUCGCCCUCUUCCACUCUGUCCGUUAACAGUUAGCUGCAGGAUGACGAGACGGAAGAGCAAGAUGAAGCGUUGCCAGCUUUAAUUAAAAACAUACCUUGCAAAAUGUUUUAGCUGUUUUGCCUAGCAGCAGCAGUGCAGGCAAAUGUUUUCCGAACCCGACCAGAUCCCAGCAGCUCAACCAAUCUGACCGAGCUGCCAUUCAAUGGCAUGCAGCAGCUGUGGUGCCAUCAAAACUUUUGAUGCCACGACUCACUCCAUUCGGCGGGGCUGACUCCGGACUGACGACUCCUGACUCCUGACUCCCCAUGCAUUUGAUUGCAGAGCUGGCGGAUGAGACAGGCAUCGAUAUCCCGUGAAAACUUCAAUUGACAGCCUACGGCAGGCGGAGUGGGGAAUGGGAAUGGGAAUACGAAAACGAAUACGAAUGGCAUGGGAUGUGACAGGAUGGGAUGGUGGCUGUUGUGUCGCACAGUUUCCAUGUAUACGUACAAUAUUUUUGCCCGCUCUCAAAAUAUUGCAUUGGAAUGAAGCACCCAAUGGGUCCCCCAGGAGCUGUCAUUUCAACCGAACGGACGGCUGGCCUCUGGAGUGCUAUUUUUACCGUCGCAAAUGAUACUCAAGACGAAGGAUUUUUUAAUGAUGUUACUUCCCGGAGAGCUCUCAAAUCAUUUGAAUACAAAUUGUUCGCCCUCUCUCCGACGAUUGCAGGAUUUUCUUUGGAAUUCAUGAAUUCUUUAUCUCCUUCUUCGUGCUUUUCCAGCUGGCAAGCUAUGAAAGUGAAAUGCGAGACAUGUUCCCCGAGGCUGAAGGACAGGUGGAUGCAUGGAGUUGGUAGUGGAGGGGCCUCCAUUGUCACUGAACCCAAAAGUUCUGCCAGCCAUGCGGAAUACACUAUGCAACAGGGUUUUUAUCUAGUCUUGUGCAAUGGCUUGUAUACUUCAUGAAUUGUUUCACCUCCGAAAUGUACAAAAGUCUCAGGGUACUCUAAAGACCCUGCAAAGUACGCUGAGUAUUGCUUGCAAGCUACCCCUUCAUCACAAAGACUUGCCAAUGAAGUAAUUUUCGUUGAAUUUUCGACAUUAAACGGUCCCACUGGGCAUUCUCUGACGUCUCCAGCAGUCACCUAAGUUAAACACAUUAUACCACCACAAAGUAUUGUGCACUGAAAGGAAAAUGGCAUAGUAAAAAGAAACACUGUCAGAUUUAAGUUAAAUAUUCGGGCUUCACUUUGAUUCAAAUAUACAUCUAUUAAAAAGUCUUUAAUAUGGCCCAUGUUUAAUCUAAAUGUAAAACCUCAGUGGAACUAUUCGGGGCUCUGGCCUUUUUCCUCUGGGUAUACCUUUCUCAUCUAGAAAUGAUCAUAAUAAUUGAAGCCAUCGUUUUUUAUUUGAAAAUUUAUAAGUCGCUUCUUUUCAGGUUUCAGACGUUGAAUAGUUCGAGCGGAAUACGUUGCUGCACCUCAGGUGCUUCUUAACAUGAUUUGUUAGGCCCAUCCUGGGACUCGUUUUUUUUACAACACAAUCUUUCCAUACCCCACUGCCAAGAUUGGUACCAAAAAAUAAUAAUUAAUUACUAAUUUAAAAUAAAUUCUGAAUUAUAUUGGAAUCAAGUUAGCUUAUAAGGAAUCAUUUAGAUGUGGCUGUAAGGAGUCGAUUUUCUAUUUAAAAUUUAUUUUUUUCUGCCGGAAAAGCCUUACAGCGUGUGGUUUUAAAAAUAAUUUGUUUCUUAGUACAUGAAUAUGACACAAAAACAAUAUUCAUAUAAAAAGCCGCAAUAAUAAUAUAUCUUUU